GUUUAGCUUUGGUGCAUUAACACUUGUGUAGUAUGCUUUGUGUUACAUCCUGUAGUUAGGUUUUGUAUCAUAAGCUUUAUGAUUUGUGAUAUAGUUCCUCUCUGACUGUGUGUUAUGACUACCCUCCUUCUAAUUAUGUCCAAGUCUCUGCUCUUCUUAUCCUUUCUGCUACUGUACCCAGCUGGCUGGGACUGAACACCCUGUGAGCAAGGAUGGCGUGUCUCUUCCAUCAGUUUUCCCAGUUGAGUCAUCCACAGUGUCCCACACUAUGGUUAGUUUCACCCUCUCUUCCCCAGCAUCAGCCAAGACUCAAGUUUCUGUCGCUUCUUUUCUGUGGAAGAUGUGAGAUUAUGUGAGGAUGGAGAAAAAGCAGACUGAGUGGUAGAAACUUUCUCUGGUUUCUUUUCAGGAUGUUAACUUUUACCCUGUUACUAAUUACCAGAUAAUCUGUUUGCAUUCUCAUUUGCACUGUACAGUAAUUGGAAGACAACACUUCUCAAUUGCCCCUACAAAAUACAUACUCUGCAGUCCCAUUCCUUAGGAGAACAGGACAUCCAUAAACAGGGAGAGGUUGGCAUUUAUCUGAACUAGACCUCCAGGCCAUUGGCAGGCUUCAGGUAACCACGCCCAGGGGUUGAGGUUUUGGAGUGGUUAAGCAAGUCUUAAAUCUGUGUCUCUUUCAGCAUUCAAAUGGAUGAGGAAGCAAGUGGACCACCAGUACAGACACUGCUGAUGACCUGCAGCUUCCGUACCUAAUCUUCCCCCAGUGAGAACAGUGAUCACUCAAUAAAAUGUCAUGUCAAACUGCAAGACUGCUUGGAACAGUCAUGAACGCUCACUUGCCACCUGUGUUAAGAGACUUCAUAAAGGGCAGAACCAUAAGAAUUUGGUCCCACUGCAAGUGUUAAGUAAAAUGCUUCAUCCAUUCUGGGAUCUACAUACUGCAAACUGGAAUCGUAAUCCUCCAUCUCUGCUUUCCUCUCACUUGAUCUUGUUUGGAAAUGUGAAUAAAUACCUUAUUUUGGAAACUUGGUUCAUAAUUUGUGUUUAUAUAAACAGCUGGUCAGACUGUCCUUAAUCCUGACUGGUAUUUUUGCAAGUGAUCACACCAUUAAUGGUAA
Molecule: long non-coding RNA, 1121 nt
Filed under: Apteryx owenii (little spotted kiwi)
Lineage: Eukaryota; Metazoa; Chordata; Aves; Apterygiformes; Apterygidae
Description: lncRNA (ENSAOWG00000004513.1)
Source: RNAcentral